Molecule: ribosomal RNA, 445 nt
Filed under: uncultured bacterium
Lineage: Bacteria
Description: SSU rRNA
Rfam family: Bacterial small subunit ribosomal RNA
Source: RNAcentral
AGAGCGAACGCUGGCGGCAGGCUUAACACAUGCAAGUCGAGCGGGCGUAGCAAUACGUCAGCGGCAGACGGGUGAGUAACGCGUGGGAACAUGCCUUUUGGUUCGGAACAACACAGGGAAACUUGUGCUAAUACCGGAUAAGCCCUUACGGGGAAAGAUUUAUCGCCGAAAGAUUGGCCCGCGUCUGAUUAGCUAGUUGGUGAGGUAACGGCUCACCAAGGCGACGAUCAGUAGCUGGUCUGAGAGGAUGAUCAGCCACAUUGGGACUGAGACACGGCCCAAACUCCUACGGGAGGCAGCAGUGGGAAUAUUGGACAAUGGGCGCAAGCCUGAUCCAGCCAUGCCGCGUGAGUGAUGAAGGCCCUAGGGUUGUAAAGCUCUUUUGUGCGGGAAGAUAAUGACGGUACGCAAGAAUAAGCCCGGCUAACUUCGUGCCAGCAGCCGC